RNAcentral lists this ribosomal RNA (482 nucleotides) under uncultured bacterium. RNAcentral describes it as "partial 16S ribosomal RNA". It matches the Rfam family "Bacterial small subunit ribosomal RNA", at positions 30 to 507 of the family's 1533-position model. The record is from RNAcentral.
AUUGAACGCUGGCGGCAUGCCUUACACAUGCAAAUCGAACGGUAACGGGCCUUCGGGUGCCGACGAGUGGCGAACGGGUGAGUAAUACAUCGGAACGUGCCCGAUCGUGGGGGAUAACGAGGCGAAAGCUUUGCUAAUACCGCAUACGAUCUACGGAUGAAAGCAGGGGACCGCAAGGCCUUGCGCGGACGGAGCGGCCGAUGGCAGAUUAGGUAGUUGGUGGGAUAAAAGCUUACCAAGCCGACGAUCUGUAGCUGGUCUGAGAGGAUGAUCAGCCACACUGGAACUGAGACACGGCCCAGACUCCUACGGGAGGCAGCAGUGGGGAAUUUUGGACAAUGGGCGCAAGCCUGAUCCAGCCAUGCCGCGUGCAGGAUGAAGGCCUUCGGGUUGUAAACUGAUUUUGUACGGAACGAAAAGCCUUCUUUUAAUACAGGAGGGUCAUGACGGUACCGGAAGAAUAAGCACCGGCUAACUACGUG